GACGGGGGAUGCAAGCGUUAUACGGAAUCACUGGGCGUAAAGCGUCUGUAGGUGGUGAUGCACGUCAGUGGUGCAAAACUCUGGCUCAACCGGAGGAAAGCCAGGGAAACUGCAUGACUAGAGUGUGGGAGAGGUAGUAGGAAUUCCCUGAGUAGCUGUGAAAUGCGUAGAUAUCGGGAAGAACACCGGAGGCGAAAGCGUUCUACUGGAACACAACUGACACUGAGAGGCGAAAGCUAGGGGAGCGAAUGGG
This 253-nucleotide ribosomal RNA is filed under the name uncultured bacterium. RNAcentral describes it as "partial 16S ribosomal RNA". It matches the Rfam family "Bacterial small subunit ribosomal RNA", at positions 524 to 776 of the family's 1533-position model. The record is from RNAcentral.